Molecule: non-coding RNA, 170 nt
Organism: Puma concolor (puma)
Lineage: Eukaryota; Metazoa; Chordata; Mammalia; Carnivora; Felidae
Source: RefSeq, a predicted model, not a curated record
UUUUGAGACCAGUGUCACGAAUUAAUACAGAUCCCUCUGCUUUUUCCCACCCAGGCCUGCCUGCCUUGGAAGCCAAUGAUCUGGUCGAUAAAGACAGUCCCUUCUAUUAUGACUGGGAAAGCCUGCAGCUGGGUGGGAUGAUUGUUGGAGGGCUCCUGUGCAUCGCUGGA